Molecule: ribosomal RNA, 225 nt
Filed under: Triticum aestivum (bread wheat)
Lineage: Eukaryota; Viridiplantae; Streptophyta; Magnoliopsida; Poales; Poaceae
Description: partial small subunit ribosomal RNA
Source: RNAcentral
AUGCAGCUGGAUGAUGCGUGUUGCAGGAUCACAGAUAGUGCAGGCAUUGGUGGUAAUCUGCUUCUACUUUCUGUAUGGAGCUGGGAGCGUCUGUCUGUUGGACGCUCGAAGAGCGUCAGGUUUAAUCCUUGGUAUGAAGAUGAACAUGACAAAUUACGGAGCCCCACUUGGGCUUACAAGUGGGAUGUGGUUUCCGAGAUGACGAACGAUGUCAAUCUCAUGUAA